This is a long non-coding RNA of Amblyraja radiata (thorny skate), 470 nucleotides long. RefSeq lists it as uncharacterized. NCBI's taxonomy places the organism in Eukaryota, Metazoa, Chordata, Chondrichthyes, Rajiformes, Rajidae. The transcript has 2 exons. The record is from RefSeq and is a predicted model, not a curated record.
GAAAAGACGAGGAUUCUGGUUAAGGAAGCAUUUGGAUUUUGAAUAACUUCGCAAUUCAACAUUUGGUGGAGAGGGGAUGGUAGGAUAGAGAAUAUGUUGGAAUUCUUCCAGAGCAACUCGGACGCUUCCAUGUCGGGAGCGUCUACUGAUGCAUAGCUGCUGUUGCUGCUGCUGCUUGGAGCCGCCGCCGUUCAGGUAGACGUCGUUGUUGGAAAUAAAUAAAGCGAGCAAACGAUGCCGUGGGGAGCGCUGCCGCCGGCUUUGCCCCCUCAGCCAGCGCUCGAGCUCCUCUCGGCUAUCGUGGCGGCCAUCUUUGCGACCCGGUCUGUGGUAACUACGGCAACCCGCGGCGGACAGCCCGUGAGCGCGCGGCCGCCAGGGGGCGAGGCUGAGGCCGCUGCCCAGGUCUGUGCACCUUUGCUGCUAUAUAACCAUUAAAAAAAACAUUUCCAAAUAAAACUUUCAAUUAA